UUUGUGCUCUCAAACAUUCAUCUCUCCUCUUCUCCCUCUCCAUCCAUUCGUUUCCAGGAAAAACUUCCACCGACGAACCACAACCGCACCACCAGACAUGUACAACCCCUCGACCGACCAACAAACUACUACUCUCUGCGACUGCCAUUAAGAGGCCUAAACAAAGGGGUUUACCCGGACUGAAUCAAGACCGGUGAAGGGAACUUCCUGAAAUUCACUAUUAUGCUAGGUUUGAAGUUGACCUUGUUGCAUAUGAUGAUGAUGUUGAGAAUCUAUGCAUAUCAAGUGUUUGAAGAAAUGUUUCUCCUUUUUUUCUUCCAAUUUUAUUCGCCAUUGUGUAAGUAACUUGGUUAGUUGUUUAAGUUAGGGGUGUAAACUAGCUGAACUACUUGCAUGCUACUCGAAAUUGGCUCGAGACGAGUCUGGGACUAAAAAUAAGCUUGUUUAGUAAACAAACUCGGGCUGGCUCAUGAGCCUAAACAAGCACAUUAUUUAUACAAUUUAUAAUUAAUAUAUUAAGUGUGUGUAUAUAUUAUGUGAAUUUCCAACCACUUGACUCGAGCUCGAGCUGGCUCAUGAGCCUAAACAAGCACAUUAGUAAACGAACUCGAGCUGGCUCAUGAGCCUAAACAAGCACAUUAGUAAACGAAUUCAAGCUGGCUCAUGAGCCUAAUUUACAGGCCCGAGCUUGAGCUUGAAAAACUACCCAUGACUCGAGCUCGAGCUUUCAUAUGAGCUCAAGCCUAGUCGAGCACGGGCUUGGCUCGGCUUAUUUGCACCCCUAGUUAUAGUAGAUGCGAACAAGUUUGAUGAUCAUUUUUCUAAUAUGAAAAAAUCCACCAUUUGUCCUUGCAGUUUUCCCUACAUGUUAUCCAAAGACGUUAGCAACAAAUUAUCUGACCCUUACGUAGCAUGAUGCAUUGGUGGUUUAUCACCAUAUCUAACUUUGUCUUCUUUUUUUGAGUUAAUUACUGUUUUCGUCCCUGUGGUUUGUCAAAAAUCACUAUUUCAGUCCAUUAGUUUAAAAAUUGCGAUUUCAGUCCAUGUGGUUUCACUUUCGUA
This is a long non-coding RNA of Helianthus annuus (common sunflower), 1062 nucleotides long. RefSeq lists it as uncharacterized. Lineage: Eukaryota; Viridiplantae; Streptophyta; Magnoliopsida; Asterales; Asteraceae. The transcript is spliced from 3 exons. The record is from RefSeq and is a predicted model, not a curated record.